UGGGGAAUUUUGGACAAUGGGCGAAAGCCUGAUCCAGCAAUGCCGCGUGUGUGAAGAAGGCCUUCGGGUUGUAAAGCACUUUUGUCCGGAAAGAAAUCCUCUGGGUUAAUACCUCGGGGGAGUGACGGUACCGGAAGAAUAAGCACCGGCUAACUACGUGCCAGCAGCCGCGGUAAUACGUAGGGUGCAAGCGUUAAUCGGAAUUACUGGGCGUAAAGCGUGCGCAGGCGGUUUUGUAAGACGGAUGUGAAAUCCCCGGGCUUAACCUGGGAACUGCAUUCGUGACUGCAAGGCUAGAGUAUGGCAGAGGGGGGUAGAAUUCCACGUGUAGCAGUGAAAUGCGUAGAGAUGUGGAGGAAUACCGAUGGCGAAGGCAGCCCCCUGGGCCAAUACUGACGCUCAUGCACGAAAGCGUGGGGAGCAAACAGGAUUAGAUACCCUGGUAGUCCACGCCCUAAACGAUGUCAACUAGUUGUUGGGGAUUCAUUUCCUUAGUAACGUAGCUAACGCGUGAAGUUGACCGCCUGGGGAGUACGGUCGCAAGAUUAAAACUUAAAGGAA
This 561-nucleotide ribosomal RNA is filed under the name uncultured bacterium. RNAcentral describes it as "partial 16S ribosomal RNA". It matches the Rfam family "Bacterial small subunit ribosomal RNA", at positions 355 to 909 of the family's 1533-position model. The record is from RNAcentral.